AGCAUUUCAGAGAAAGCCAGUGAGAUUAAAAGGCCACCACACUCCUGCUGUCAUGAGGAUGAUACUUUGUCACCAUAUUCUCUCUCGUGGUGGAAAGUGCUCUGCAAUUCUUUGAGCCUCUGCCUGCCAGCUCUCAGCUCUGGUCACUGUUUGCAGCUGGUGCAGAAGAGAAGAUGCCAUCUUAAUUCAGUGUGGGUGUUGCCUUGUCAUUGCAACAUUGAGCCCCCGGCCAGACUUUUCUACAGGACAGUGCCUGGGAAAGUUGUUUCUCUCUGUGGCUGGAGAGCUGCUGCCACAUUGCCUCAAGCUUUCUGUGUAAUGCUGGCCAUUUACUCUGAAAAUCAAACUCUACUGUCAUUCUACUUGCGUGGUUGUUGAGCAGGUCUCCAUGAGAUGCAGCUGUCCUGUAAGAAGUGCCCUCAGACAGUGUGGCAAAGCUCACACAGACUAUCUCAGGAUGAGAGAUGGGGUGAUAUCACCAUGAAUAUGCCUGUUGUUGGUUAGACUGACAAUCUCUCUCCCUUUUUCAUAAUUUUUUUUUUUUAAAUUUAAGUACUGGUUUAAUACCCUUGAUAAUUCCAGUAUUGAAAAUGUUUCUGGGACAAGCCAUGCUACUACUGUGCUCUAAGGGCAGGACCACUGCUGGAGAAAGUGACCUCUUUCCAGUUUAGAAGCUUCAUGACAUUCUAGAGGGAAUGAAGGGGUAAAAAGAGAUGCUCCAACUGACUUGCUUUCAGUGCCUGCCAGUAUGUGUAAGUGGCAGUGCAGGCCCUCUGUAUUUGCUAUAUUCACACAUUCACUAGAAUUGCUCUUUCUAUGUGACUCAGGAAGUGUUAUUUUAAUUAAAAUAUGUUGGUGAUUAUUGAGGUGUAAAAUCUGACCAUCAAAAUGGAAGGAUUAUUUCCUUUUCAUUUACCUUGUGUGGGCUUGAGGACAUCUGAAACCUUAAGGGCUACAUUUUGAUUGCUGUCUAUUUUAAAAGGGAACUUGCAGGCUUGCACUUCAGUAAAAAUGACCCAGUUGUGCAUUUUCCUUUCAAAACCAGCAGAACCACAGCUGCUCUAAGCCUGUGUGAAGCACAUUCCUUCUUGUCUCUUAGCUCGUCUCCUAGCAGCUGGCUUGUGGGUGUGUGUAUAUUUAAAAAAAAAAUCACUUAAAUGUGAAAAAAAGCAGAUUGAUUUUGUUAAAGCAAAAGAAUUCUUUAUCAAUUUUUUUUCUCGCUGUCCCCUAACUGUAACAGGUGUGUAGAGGUGAGAAAGACCCAUCCCUGCCAUCACAGCAGGAUGUUGGGAUAGCUCCAUGGAAGAUCCUGUAUGCAUGCCAAGGCAUUGUGUAGUCUACCAGCUUGUGAAAAUUCAGUAGUGAAAUCUCUGCUAUCACAUCGCUCCCAGUGAGAAAGGCAGCCCCCAGUUACAGUACAAAAGUAUAUUAACUGGGUACUGAGAUGUGGGUAGAUUUUUUUACCUCUUUGAGUUCCUCUCAGCACUUACUAGAUAUGAGAAAAUCUGUGCAGUAGUUUACAUCGAUCUUCCUGUAAAAUUGCAUUGUUUUAUUUUUCAGGCAGUUUCCAGUCUCCCCCAAUUAAACCAGCACUUUUGAUGUGCUACGUGUCUUGCUUAAGAGAUGAGGGUUUUUCUUAUUUGAUUCAUGUAAUUUCAUUUUGGCUUUGAAUUUUUAAACAAGUGUAAUAAAUUGUGACAAAGUGCAGUGUUCACUCAA
Long non-coding RNA from Onychostruthus taczanowskii (white-rumped snowfinch), 1719 nucleotides. RefSeq lists it as uncharacterized. The record is from RefSeq and is a predicted model, not a curated record. The transcript has 3 exons. NCBI's taxonomy places the organism in Eukaryota, Metazoa, Chordata, Aves, Passeriformes, Passeridae.